RNAcentral lists this long non-coding RNA (1623 nucleotides) under Nicotiana benthamiana. RNAcentral's name for it is "long non-coding RNA (NBEN_LNC023765)". The record is from RNAcentral. Lineage: Eukaryota; Viridiplantae; Streptophyta; Magnoliopsida; Solanales; Solanaceae.
UUAAAGUAAAAAGCCGCCCAAUGAACACCCCUAUUCAUUUCAUAGCAAAUUUUAUGAUUAAAUUUUAGUUUUAUUAAAACAUUAGGUCUAGCUCUAACCCUUUAAUUUUACUUAAUUUUUAGUAUUUAAUCUACCUAAUAUACAUGUAUCUAAGCUAAGGAUGAAUCGAGAUUACUUACCUCACAAUGCUAUGUUAAAAUCCCCUCCUUUGAAGCUCCCAAAUCACCCAAGUAUAGAGAAGAAAUGAAACAAAAUGGCCUUUGAGUUCGAAUUAAAUGAACUCACUUCCCAGCGAUUUUCGCAUCUACGAUUUGGGUCCCGCAUCUGCGAUUCCACACCGGCAGAAGGAGGACUGCAUUUGCGGAACUGGGCGAAAGUGGUUGGACCGCAUCUACGGUCUGGGGCCCGCUUCUGCGAUUUUGAAACCGCUCCUGGGGUUUCCCCUGACAUGACCACUGGCUGCUUCUACGAUUGCAUUACCGCACAUGCGGUCUCGUAUCGGCAGUCCAAAUCUGCAAAUAUGGUUAUGACAGAAGCAACAAACUCAGCUCCUUCUCCAAAUUUCAACUUCUCUCGAGCCUCGUCCGUUUGACGCUCGGGGCUCCUGAGCCCCGCUCGAACAUACCGACAAGUCUGAAGUCACGAGGCGGACCUACUCGAAUCCUCGAAACACUCAAAACAAUGCUAAAUCUAGGAAUCACCCCCUAAAAUCAAAUAAUCAAACUAAUGAACUUCAGGUUCUUCACUCUCCUCUAACGGGUCAAAACGCCCUUAAACUACUCGAGUUGGCACCAAAUUUUACAAACAAGUCUUAAAUGAUAUUACGGACCUCUACCAAACUUCGGAAAGAAAAUUUGAGCCUGAUACCUAAGAAAUUAAUGAAUACUAAGUUUCUUUAAUUAUUUAAAACUUCAAUUUAACAAUUUUAAAUAAAAAUUCAUUAAUCGGGCUAGGAACCUCGGAAUUCGAUUCCGGACAUACAUUCAGGUUUCGUAUUUUUUCACGGAUCCUCUGGGACCAUCAAAUCAUGAAUCCGGAUUCAUUUUCCCAAAAAGUUGACCGAAGUCAAAUCUGGUCUUUUAAGAGAAUCUUAAAGAAACAAAUGGAUAUUUUUACUCAAAACUCUUCCAACUCCUGAACCAGCCGUCCCCGUAAUUUAUAAAUUAGCUAAAGCAAGUGUAAAAAAUUUUUGUUUAACAGUAGGGUUUUAAAUGGCAAAACGACCGGUCGGGUUGUUACAUCUAACUUAACAAGAUAAAGAAAAACAAAACCGGAAUCUUGUGGUGUUUCUGAUGGCUUUUUUUUGGGUGUUUACAUCGUAAUUUGGAGCUGUUCUCAUGGCUAUUUUCUGUAUGAUUCGGACGAUUUUUGACUGAGAUUUAGAACGAUUUGCAGAGGUGGUUUACUGCUGACUUUUGACUGAAGUCUGGUGCAUUUUGGCUGGAGUGUGGUGGUUGAUUUUUGGGGUUUAGUUCUGGAGAAGAUGAAGAAGAAGAAGGGAGCGAUUUUCCCGUUUUUUCGGCCCUCUCUUGCGCCGUUGCUGCCUUGUUUCUUGUAGAGGGGAGGCUCCGAUCUUUUUGUGGUGAAGAAAAGAAAAAACUGUGCUCAGUUGAAGGGGAAGAG